RNAcentral lists this ribosomal RNA (273 nucleotides) under uncultured bacterium. RNAcentral describes it as "partial 16S ribosomal RNA". It matches the Rfam family "Bacterial small subunit ribosomal RNA", at positions 524 to 796 of the family's 1533-position model. The record is from RNAcentral.
UACGAAGGGUGCAAGCGUUACUCGGAAUUACUGGGCGUAAAGCGUGCGUAGGUGGUUCGUUAAGUCCGAUGUGAAAGCCCUGGGCUCAACCUGGGAAUGGCAUGGGAUACUGGCGGGCUAGAGUGCGGUAGAGGGCAGUGGAAUUCCCGGUGUAGCAGUGAAAUGCGUAGAGAUCGGGAGGAACAUCUGUGGCGAAGGCGACUGCCUGGACCAGCACUGACACUGAGGCACGAAAGCGUGGGGAGCAAACAGGAUUAGAAACCCCCGUAGUCC